CUGUUGGCUAAACGUGCGCGGUGUCCCAACGUCUUCGGGAGGGAUGUACGUAUUAUGUAUAAACGCUAACUUAUUAUAGCUCGAUAACCCGCACUCGAAAAAUCAAUGAGGAGGGUCAUUGUGCUAUGAUAGACGCAGUGUUGAAUCAUAUUACGUGUCGAAUCAUACGGCUCUUAAAGCUAAUGAUGCUCCAUUCAAAUUUCUGUCUCAUCAACUUGAUGGUAGGAUAGUGGCCUACCAUGGUCGUGACGGGUAACGGGGAAUUAGCGUUCGAUUCCGGAGAGGGAGCCUGAGAGACGGCUACCACUACUACGGGAGGCAGCAGGCGCGCAACUUACCCAAUCCUGAUCCAGGGAGGUAGUGACGAAACAUACCACGGGUAUAAUCGAAAAGAUUUGAGACGUGGAAUGCGUUCAAUCUGCAUCAUUGAACGAUAAUCAAUU
This 443-nucleotide ribosomal RNA is filed under the name uncultured eukaryote. RNAcentral describes it as "bacterial SSU rRNA". It matches the Rfam family "Eukaryotic small subunit ribosomal RNA", at positions 158 to 549 of the family's 1831-position model. The record is from RNAcentral.